This is a long non-coding RNA of Harpegnathos saltator (Jerdon's jumping ant), 641 nucleotides long. RefSeq lists it as uncharacterized. The record is from RefSeq and is a predicted model, not a curated record. NCBI's taxonomy places the organism in Eukaryota, Metazoa, Arthropoda, Insecta, Hymenoptera, Formicidae. The transcript has 3 exons.
UCUUUCAGAGAAAUGUAAUCACAUAUUGGAAAAUUGUGGCGUAUUAUCAUGAUUACAAAUCGCGAAAUACCGAAGCACUUUGAAUCUUCUUGUGAUUCAAAAGAAACUUAAAAGUCAAAGGUCGCAUAAUCAUUGAUCUUUCGACAGCUUGUUUGAUAAUAGCACGUUUAACGCUAUUACGAUAAGAGUCGUUCGCGGAGAAACCGCAAGCAACCGUAUACGUCUUGGAAUAUAAAUGAUGAGCAGCGGCGGGUCGUGGGAAUCCCAGAGGCAUGCCAUUAAACAUUCAUCGCUUGUUCAUUAUAUGCCGAGUCACAAAUCAACAACUUAUCAAGUAUUAAAAUGAGAUGAACUAGGAGACUCUCGAAGAGUCACCGAAGCGACGGACUGUUCUGCAAUUUCAGGGAUACUUUUACGACGAUCCGCCCGAUAAGAUUUCUUGAUCACAUCCUUUCUCUCCAGAAUGCAUCAUGCGCUAAUCCUCACUUGAAACCCACCAGAGAUGUAAUAAAACUCAAACGCAAAACCGAGAAUUUUACAAAUUUACGUUUAUAAGAAUUGAUGGGGAUAUCAUAACGAACAACGGCUCUAAAUAAGGAAAUAUUUAUUAUUGUCGUUCGUUUUAAUUUGCCGUUGACCUG